AAGCGUUUGCGUUUUUCGCGAUGCAUGGCUCCAAGGCAGUCUAAUGCAAGGUUACGCAAACUGCCAGGAGACGGAACCAAAGCAUAUUGCUGCUAUUGUAGAUCUACAAUUUCAGCAAGUUAUCGAAAUAAGGCAGCAUCCCUUCAACCAUUUUCUAUCGCGGAAGACACUUCUAAGUGACUUCUAGAAGAUGAAAACUAUCGUCCGCGAUAUCGCAUUCGGAUCGCGGACACAUAAGUUUUUUAGAAAACUGGACUGACCACGAGCAAAUUGCGAAAUAAACUGACGCUCGGACGAAAAACAAACGUGUAGGUUAUAUCGCUAUGCCAUCACUACGGACGUGACUAAAAUGUACACGCAAAUACAUCUUGACAUUAUCAAUCACAAGUACCAGUACAUUAUUUGGAGAUCAUCCUUAAAAAACACUCUACGCACAUACCAACUUAACACGCAGUAAAAAUUAUCUUGGUGAUAUCCAUCGGGCUGACUGCACAGUUGUCAUUUUACGUUGAUGGCUACUUACGGUUGCAGACGACCUAGAGACGCUCCGCACUCAAAUAACGCUGGAUUGAAUAAGGAGCUCAGUUCGUAUGUUCACUCCAAGGAACCAGUCAACCAUCAUUACCGGAAAAAAACAAUUAUAUCUAUCGCAACGGCCUUCUUCGAACUUAUUGAUCUACCCUUGCCGCUUAUUGUCGUCGCAAAAAUACUCCUUCAAGAACUUUGGUUCGCUAACUUGUGCUGGGAUGAGAGCGUACCACAGAACAUAGAGCAAGUGUCUAGAGUCAAUCCAAAAAGUCUCAAUAUUGUCGAUACCUCGAUAAUGUUUUCGACACAAGCCUCGAUUACUUCAACUUUAUGGUUUUGUGCGAAUCAUCAAUCAGAGAUUACGGUUGCUGCCUGUAUCUACGCUCGGAGACACCGAAAGGAAAUAUUACAGUUCAUUUGCUGACUGGCAAAACCAGAGUAGUUUCUACUAAGAAGAAUUCUCUUCCGAAAUGGGAGUCGUGCGGAGCACAUUUGCUUGAACAACUGUAUACAAAGAUACAACUUCUUAACGAACAGAAAAUACAUAUUUUUGGACCGAUUCACUUUUUUUCCAUUGGCGUAAACAGCACUCAAUAACUCCGUCAGCAUUCGUCUGUAACCGCAUAGCAAGUAGACAUUUUUUCCCGGUUGACUACCACAACUGAACUCACAACCUCUGUAUGGUUCACAGAAAUACCCAACCGAUAUCCCAGUGGCCAAAGUCUCCAGAAACUAUCGAUAUAAGCAUAGAAGUCGUCAAGGCGGAGCAAAGAAGGAGCGCAUUCUGUGAAAUUAUAAUCAACAAACACGUUCUCCACCAUUUGAUCCGUAUUAGCUCUUACAUUGGGCUGGAGGACGACUCCAGUACGCCGACAUCCCUGAAUCUGAAUGGUACACCCUGCUACUGCCUAGCACUUACAUCUUCGGAAUUGCCAUGGAGGCCCGAAACCUCUAGUCGCGCCAAUCCGUCUGGAAUACUGGAUCGUCAAUGAUGG
Molecule: long non-coding RNA, 1523 nt
Organism: Drosophila biarmipes
Lineage: Eukaryota; Metazoa; Arthropoda; Insecta; Diptera; Drosophilidae
Exons: 4
Source: RefSeq, a predicted model, not a curated record